UUCGGAUCUUAUAAAAACACAGUAUCAAUUUCCUGAAACCCUAACUAUCAUACGCUUCUUCUUCUUCUUGCAUCUCAUUUGAAACCUAAAUCUUCAUCAUCCCUUAAUCCCACAACCCCAACCCUUGUGCUUCUCAAUUAUACUUCAUCUACAUCCAGAUCCCUACUUUCAUUCUCGCUUUUCAGAUCUCAUCACUCCAUCAAUGCCCCAAACUGUUUGACUCUCUCGAUUUCUGUAUCAUCUAACACUCCAGAUCUUCACAGGUGAUGUUGCAUACAGAUCUGAGGUUAUCUUUUCUUGUGGCGUGUGAUUUAUUGGAUUUGUAGUUGAUUGAUUGCUCUUCUAAACAAGGAGAGAUGGAAUCUGAAGGAGAGACUGGGUGUUUUGAUAGGGGUAGAAUAUUUGUUUUUAUCAUAAGUGUUCGCUGAAUUAGAGUUCCGCUCAGAAUCUUUGAUAUUCCGACCAGAAGCUAGGGUUUUGAUGGUAGUUUCCAGCGACACAGAUAAGAUCUCUUUGCUAAAUCUUAUUUCUUUUGUUAAUCGAUCUAUUCUGUGUUAUGUCUUUCUUUGCGAUUUUAUUAAAAUUGGUGCUUUUAACAUAUCAAACUCAUCUUUAAACGAAAAAUAACCUUGAUUAGAUAGGUUUAUUCAAAAUAAGAUCUUUUCAACGAUUUAUGUUCAUCUAUGUCAGAUCGGUGUGUAAAGUUGAAAACUUUUUUUGGUUUUUAUUCUCAGGUGGUGUUUGAGAUUGAAUCUUAAUUGAAAAGGGUUUGUAUUAGAGCUUCCUAGAGCAUUGUCAACCAUUUGCCUAUGAUGGGUUAUUUGUGAUUAUGUUUUCUCUAUGUUAGGUUUAUCCAGGCAAUUAAAAAUAAAAUAGCUUUCAUGACAAAAGUUGUGUUUGAUGUGCUAAUUUUGUAGGAUGCGUUACAUGAUAGUACUGUGUUAAUCAUCAAGCUUGGCUCCAAUCUUUUGAUCUAUCCGAAGUAUUAAUUGUCCAUUAUUCCUGAAGAUAUGGCGGACCUGUCAUUAAACCAAUGAUGGGAUCAAUGCAAGCAUCGUCAAUACUUAUAAAGAAGGCUUCGGCAUAUAAUUUUGUUGGUUCAGCAGUCCUUAACCUUGGCCAAGUUAAUGGCUGGUAACUACUUGGUGAGGUUAUUGCUGGAGAAGAUGAUAGACUCUGCAAAUUCGGCUUAUCUUGGCAUACUAGAAAGGUGGGUGUAUGAAGGACUUAUUGAUGGCCCACAUGACGAGUUCUUCAUUGCUGAGAAGAAAUCUCUUCAAAAGGAGUCUCUUACCCAAGAUUAUGAUGCUAUGUAUUGGAGGCAAAGAUACAGUCUAAAAGAUGAUAUCCGUUUCUUGCAAAUUCGGCCGAAACCAUUUUAACAACAGGGAAAUAUUUAAAUGUCAUGAGAGAAUGUGGCCACACUGGUUGGGUUGGGGGUUGAAAACUUGAAAUGGGCAAUCUUUUGUGUGGGUCAAAACGGGUAGGGUACGUGAACACUUUUUUAAUCGUUUUUUUUUUUACUUUUUUAAAUUAGGGUCAAAACAGAUUUUGUAGGUUGGUUCGACCUAUGAACACUAAUCUAACACUCUUCAUAAGGCGAUUCAAGAGGUUUUGAUGCAUAUAUAUAAUUUUUUUUAAGUUUCAGCUUUCAAUCUGUUUGACUGAUAUGAGAUUUUUCCUUCUUAGUUGGAUACUUUGUAAUCGAAGUUAAUGCUUCAAUAUUCCCCCAAAAAGACUGGAAUGAAGAAAAAGUUGUUUUACGCGGGUCAACCAAUUAGCUGUCAUCCUAAUCCAACUUGACUUGAGCCAUUCUGACUUACUAUCCGUCCUGUCUGAGACACCUAUCUAGCUACCUCUAACAAAUUCACAUGGAUUAUAAUUGUUAUAUUAUUGGAUAAUAAUGUACUUCAAAUACAAAAUAUACAGGUGUAAGGUUAUACAACUGCCUUAUAGUUUAAUACCCCUGAUGGGGAUAUGGUGAUUACUCUUGAUGACUGAUACACUCAAAAUCAUUUGGAGCUCAAUAUGCUAGAUGGAGUGCUGGUCAAUGUCAAGGGAUUGAAUGUUGAUCUAGGCUCAAUUUCAUUGGUUUUUCUCUAUAAAUAUAGUUCCAUUGUUCAAGACGGUAUUAACCAUACUACAUUCAAUGAUGAUUUAGGUAAGUGCCAUUGGUUUUUGUUUAUAAUAUUAAACAAUCCAUGUCAGGUUGAGAUGCAAGAAAUGGGACGGGCCAUGUUAGGAUGAGCCGCAAGAUUUUUUUAGUUAUUGUCCAAGUAACUAAUGCGUAAAUCAUAAUUACAAUAACAAUGUAUGUAGUUAAGACUAAUUAAAAUUCUUGAAUAAAUAUUUUAAGUUUAUCAUCAUAACUUUCUAUGAUCAAGUUGUGAGCCUUUCAACUCAUACCUGUAAUUAUGUUAUGCGUAAAUGCUUAUUUUUUGUGAGUUUUCUUGGAGCAGCAUGUAUUGGAGCAUGAAAAACCACACGAGCACUCAGUAAUAAUUCUGUUGUUCAGAUGAGUCAACAGAAGUUUGCAUCAAAUGUGGUUGAGAAAUGUUUUGACUUUUGGUGAUGCUAGCAAACGCCAACUUCUUGUGAAUAAGUUCAACAAUUAGUUUCUCAACUUGCUGGGACUUUUGCUGUUAGAAAUGAAUCUAACUCUCAAGAAAAUGAAAAGAGGAGUUUAAUGAGUAGGUGUACAUAAAUUAUCUCCCAUUUAAAGGAUGUAGGUUUGAGAUACACUACACUAUAUUUUUUUAUGUUUGGCAUUUAUGUAUAUUAAACUGGUAAACUUUUUUUAAA
Helianthus annuus (common sunflower) is the source of this 2802-nucleotide long non-coding RNA. RefSeq lists it as uncharacterized. The transcript has 8 exons. NCBI's taxonomy places the organism in Eukaryota, Viridiplantae, Streptophyta, Magnoliopsida, Asterales, Asteraceae. The record is from RefSeq and is a predicted model, not a curated record.